This 66-nucleotide small nuclear RNA is filed under the name Pongo abelii (Sumatran orangutan). It matches the Rfam family "U7 small nuclear RNA". Rfam says of the family: Animal histone pre-mRNAs are spliced by a different mechanism than nuclear pre-mRNAs and self-splicing introns. Lineage: Eukaryota; Metazoa; Chordata; Mammalia; Primates; Hominidae. The record is from RNAcentral.
CAGUGUUAACAGCUUUUUUAGAAUUUGUCUAGCAGGCUUUUCAGUUUUUGCCAGAAAGCCCCUUAA